RNAcentral lists this ribosomal RNA (440 nucleotides) under uncultured bacterium. RNAcentral describes it as "partial 16S ribosomal RNA". It matches the Rfam family "Bacterial small subunit ribosomal RNA", at positions 338 to 795 of the family's 1533-position model. The record is from RNAcentral.
CCUACGGGUGGCAGCAGUGGGGAAUAUUGCACAAUGGGGGAAACCCUGAUGCAGCGACGCCGCGUGAGUGAAGAAGUAUUUCGGUAUGUAAAGCUCUAUCAGCAGGGAAGAAAAUGACGGUACCUGAAUAAGAAGCCCCUGCUAACUACGUGCCAGCAGCCGCGGUAAUACGUAGGGCGCAAGCGUUAGCCGGAUUUACUGGGGGUAAAGGGAGCGGAGACGGCGCGGCAAGUCUGAAGUGAAAGGCACGGGCUUAACCCGUGAACUGCUUUGGAUACUGGCAUGCUAGAGUGCUGGAGAGGGAAGUAGAAUUCCUGGUGUAGCGGUGAAAUGCGUAGAUAUUAGGAGGAAUACCAGUGGCGAAGGCGGCCUCCUGGACAGUAACUGACGUUGAGGCUCGAAAGCGUGGGGAGCAAACAGGAUUAGAUACCCGUGUAGUC